This 245-nucleotide ribosomal RNA is filed under the name uncultured Eubacteriales bacterium. Its description in RNAcentral is "uncultured Clostridiales bacterium partial 16S ribosomal RNA". It matches the Rfam family "Bacterial small subunit ribosomal RNA", at positions 524 to 768 of the family's 1533-position model. Lineage: Bacteria; Bacillati; Bacillota; Clostridia; Eubacteriales. The record is from RNAcentral.
UACGUAGGGGGCGAGCGUUGUCCGGAAUGACUGGGCGUAAAGGGCGUGUAGGCGGUGAGAUAAGUCUGGAGUGAAAGUCCUAUUUUCAAGGUGGGAAUUGCUUUGGAUACUGUCUGACUCGAGUGCGGAAGAGGUAAGUGGAAUUCCCAGUGUAGCGGUGAAAUGCGUAGAGAUUGGGAGGAACACCAGUGGCGAAGGCGACUUACUGGGCCGUAACUGACGCUGAGGCGCGAAAGCGUGGGGAG